Molecule: RNA transcript, 6895 nt
Organism: Aquila chrysaetos chrysaetos
Lineage: Eukaryota; Metazoa; Chordata; Aves; Accipitriformes; Accipitridae
Gene: RWDD4
Gene name: RWD domain containing 4
Exons: 20
Source: RefSeq, a predicted model, not a curated record
UGACCCGUGCUGCCCUCAGGGGAGGUGUGUCCGUCGGGCGAGGCCGCUCGGGCCUCCCCGUGCGACAGCGGCGGGGCCGCGCCGUGCCGCGCCGUGCCGCGCCAGCGAGGCCCGCCCAGCCCAGGCCCGGCGGCGGGGAGGGAGGGAGGAAGGGGACCUCCGCGCGCUGCCUGCCCCGCGUCGCACGCCAUGGCGGCCAACGAGGACCAGGAGAUGGAGCUGGAAGCGCUGCGCUCUAUCUACGAGGGAGAUCUGUGCUUCAGGGAGCUUAGCCCGGUUUCCUUCCAGUACAGGAUAGGUGAAAGUGGAGAUCCCAAAGCCUUUCUAAUAGAAGUUUCUUGGCCGGAAACAUAUCCACAAACAGCACCGGUCAUCUCAAUGGAUGCUUUCUUCAACAACACAAUAUCUUCAGCUAUUAAACAAAGUAUAUUGGAUAAGUUAAUGGUAGAAGUUGAAGCGAAUCUUGGAACUGCUAUGACAUAUACACUUUUUGAAUAUGCCAAAGAUAAUAAAGAGUUAUUCAUGGAAAAUCAGCCUGUUAACACUGUGACUUCAGUAAGCAAUAGUAUUGCAAUUGGAACUCCUGAUGUGCCAGCAAGUAAGAAAAAAGAUAAAAAGGAGCAGUUAUCCAAAACUCAGAAACGAAAACUAGCUGAUAAAACAGAUAACAAAGGGGAGCUUCCGCGAGGAUGGAACUGGGUGGACGUAAUUAAGCAUGGAGAGAAGAUGACAGAAGUAUUGAAGAGGUGAAAGGAGGGAGGAACAGCUUGAGGUCUGGAGCCUUAAGAACAUGUUGUACAGUUGCUGUAAAGAAAAAGGUUGUAACUCCAGCUGAUGGACCUGAGGUGGGGGCUUCCAGGUGGUGUCAGAAGUGAUCACCACAAUGUUUUACUACAUCUGGAGAUUUUGAAGAAGUGUCAAGAGAUGAGACAUCAAACAUUAGCUCACAUUUUACAGGGAUAUUUUCAGCAGUGAUCUGCACACAGGCAGCAAGCUAAAAGCAAAUGGCUGAGGUCUUUCCAGAAAGUACACAAGAUAUAUCAAGAAUAUGCUCCACUUACUCUCAGGGAGGAAGCAUCUGCUGAGCUUCUUGAGACAGUCUUGCAGCAAGAGGUUGAUCAAGGAUUCAAGAUUGGGGCUCUCCAGAAAAUCACUGUUACUGCUUCAAGAGGAAAACCUAUGACUUGGAAUACAACCUGUCAAGCAAGCAGGCUCCAAAAUGUUUUGACAUCCACCUUGUGAAAACAGAGGUUAAUGAAGUAUGAAGCACAUCAGAACGUCACAGAAUGUAUCCAUGUACAGAAUGAUCAAUUCCAAGUUUUUCCCCCAAAAUGCUAAAUGUCAGGAGGAAAAGGAAAGUUUUUACAAUGGGGAUGAGGAAAUUCUGGCAUAUGUUCAGCAGGGUCAGGCUCUGCGAGUUCAGCAGCAAGCUGCCAUUCAUUUUGUUUGUCAGCACAAAGCUAAGUAGAACAUGGUGUGGUGGAGAAAACUUGGAAUAUCUCACCUGUCUGUAAAAACUGAUGAGGUUUUUCCUUUUGAGAGUAGCUGUUUGCACCCCCUUUUUUUUUCCCCCUUGCUUUCCAACCCCCCAAAAUAGGUUCAAAAGUAUAUGUGUGAUUCAUCUUAAUAAUACCUCACCAGUUUAUUAAGGGAGUCCUCCCUACAAUCCUAAGAAGGGACACUGUUUUCAGUGCUGCAGGAGCAAAGAAAGAUCCUCCAAACUUGCAGCCAGUCUGAUGUAGGAGAAUGAUUUCUUGAUACAAAAUCUGACCAUACACAUGGUCUAGAGCUUGGGAUUUGAAAACAAAGGAUUUUCUCUGCUCCCUCAGUGUACUGCCACCAUUCACCCUCUCUUACUCCAACUUGUCUCAGCGUUUCAAGGAAAGACAAAACACCUUCCCUCUCAUACAUCUGAUAUAUGCCUAGAUACACAGAUAUCAGUACCUGAGAGGAGUCAGUUACGUACAUGAGAGGAGGAGCAGUCUCUCUCCUGAGCUCGGCAGAUGAAUGCCAGAAGCAUGAGAUUUGCUUAUAUGUAUUAUCUUAGCACAGAACUGAGUGUUGUAAGCAGGUUGAUACAAAUCCGUUCUGUCCCCACUCCGUGAUACACAAGCAGGAAGAUUCAUAAAUUUCCAGAUUAAUUAGCGAGCACAGACCACAUGGAGGAUCCAGUCCUACAUGUCUACAAACAAGUCAGUCUGUACUGUAUAUGACUUCUUAGUUAAUGUAAGAUGCAAACAUAUGAAGCAGCAUAAGGGGAGAGGGAACUAAUUAAAAUAAUUCUAGGAGAGGUUUCUAGGGUAUUUCAUCCGUUGCUUAGAAUUCCAAGUAAAACUACAUACCUAGUGAAGAGCUUCUGAUAGAAGAUUCUUAUUUGUACCUGAAAGCUGGAUGGUUUCCUUUUCAAAAGGAGGAAAAUAUUAAUUAGAAAGAAAUGUCUUUUAUAAACUCUACAGUUUUCUUUCAGAAUGAAAGUUGUGAUGUAAAAUACAUGCCUGCAGCUUAGUGUCAUGGCUUAACCCCAACCUGGUUAUUUUUCCAACAAAACAACCGUAGGUUAUGUGUUUCAGAUCAACAAGUAAGCUUCUGAAAAAAAAAUUAUUUUUAACACAGGGGUGCAAGAGUUAUAAUUUGAUUUAUCGGUGCCACUGGUGAGAGCAGAAAAGUACGAUUAAUUCUAAGCCUCUGCUAUCAGAUUGCUGAUGUUUGCAAAAUUUCAGUUGUUUCAGCUGGUAAAUGUGUGGACUUACAUGGUUUGUAGGUAAGAUACCACAGAUUUAAAGCAUAUUUUUCUUUUCCACUGGAACUAAACUCCUUGUAACAAAGAGUCUCCAGGGUUUGAGAUUUGUGAAAUAAUGAAUAUUUUCUGAAUCGUGCAAACAAAAUGUUUUUGAGAAAAGACAUCAAACUUUAGGCCUCAAAGUAUCAUUCAAGAACGGAAAUCCAAGCGAAUAUUCUCAUCAAAAAGAAUAGUGUUUAACUAGUUCCUUAUUUUAUUUUAAUCAACAUUAGGUGCUGAAAACAGAUUUCUGCCUGGACCAAAACACCCAUCUCUCUUCUUCUCUGAAUUUGAAGGGAGUUCAGUUCUGGCAGGAACCUUGGAUCUUCCUCGUUUCAGGAUGAAUGUGUCAAGUUGCAGCUUAAAGCUCUGUUCUCAGUUAUAAUCAUUACUCAGCUGAGGACAGAAGGAGUGCUGGUCUUUCUGGACAAAUGAGCUUCUUCUCACGUUUCCUUCUGCACUUGGAAUAAGUCAUCCACAGAGAAAUAAGUAGGUGUUGAGACAUGGAGAUUAACAGCUGAAAGGUGGUGUUCAUCCUGAACUUGUUUGUUUAGCCUUUUGUGGUGAAGAGAUCUACCUUCAAAUGUGGAACUUGGCUGCAAAGAUCAAUGACCAGUUUUUGACUGUUGCUACAAACAAGCGAAAAAACACAAAUGGAAUUUGAGACAUUGUGGCUAUGCAGAAUUGUCCCAGUCAAGUUGAAAAUACCCAGAACUUUGGACCCCAUGGGAAAGGUGCAAGGAAAUUAAGACAGGAAAGGAGACUGGAGAAGAAAGUAAAACAAGAAAUGGAAAAAAAGGAACUUACUAGUGAAAAACAUAAUGCCAUUGAUCAGUACUUGCUUAGUGGAGAUGAAAAGUUACCAUUAUGAUCUGGUAUCAGGAAGGUCUCGAGUAGGUCACAGUGUGCUCAUAACAUGCACACCAUCUCUCUGAGUGCAGUUUGCAAGCCCUGUGCCAUCUCCGUCUUCUUGAAACCAGCACAUCCGUCCUCUUUCUAUACACUACUGCCUUGACCUACAUGGGCCACUAUCUGGUACUUCCCAGCUACACUGAAGAAGAGAAAAUUGACUGUAUCAUACUAUGGAACUUAGAAACCAGAGCAGUUAAAAAUUAUUGAAAAAUGAGCCAGAUGUGUACUGCUUGACAAUUAAAGAUGAUGCCAGUAGAAUUGGGUUUGGAGUCAUGAUGGAAAAUGGGAUAGAAGUUUGGGAUCCAUUUGAACACCAACAUACCAUUAUUCCAGGUUAUGAAAGCGUACAUCAUACUGUGAUUAGCAAACUCCAGCUGCUGGAGGAAAGGGCAAAAGCAGUCCUACUUGCAGGAUAUGUAAGUCUGUGGGACUUGAACAGUUGCACAGUAACAUCUGGUUUUACCACUGACAGCAAAAUGUCUUACCUAACUAGCACUGGACAGAAAAACAAUUCUUGUGGGUUUGAGUAACACCCCUGCUCAUCUUGAUAGGAUCAGAUGCAAAACCAACCAUCCAAUCCACUGAAAAAAGACUUCUUUGGAGAAGUAUCCACUAGCAGCCAGGAAGAACCUGAAGAAAACUAGACUGUCUGAUGAUUAAAGACACAAGUAGCAUCUUGGAUCUCUUAAAGACAGCUAUUCAGAGACGUAAUUGUUCACUGUGCCCAAUAAAAGCUGUGCACUGCGAAUAGGAUUCAGAAAGCCAUAAUGGUCGAGGAAACUGCUUAAAGUAGUUCAAAAGAACUUUUGACAGGUGAGGCGAGUAAGAUAAGAAGCGAGUAUCUUCAAGAACAGAUGCUUUACUCUGAAUUGCAGGGGGAUGCACAUCUCCAUUCAAGGAUUUCAACCUUUCUUGAGUUAGGCUUCUAUAGGAAACUCACAAAAGAGUAAGCGCUACUGCUUUCCUAACUUCAUCUGACUGGUCUAGUGCAGAUCUUCCCAACAUAUAUCUCAGUUAAUUUAUUUGGUCUGUGGCAUUCCACAGGUCAAACUAUACUUGGCUUGCCUCAAGUCUCCUCUGCAGAGACCAGCCAGGGUUGCCUAGCCAGUCCUGACAGAGGGAAGAUAUGCUACUUCUAAGCUAUAGCAUAAACAAGUUGCUUUUUCUUUGCCCACAAUACCUUUCUUUGCCGAGACUCACUGAGUAGACAGACUGCCUUUCAGGACUCAUACAUCUGUCAUUUGAGUUUAAAGCAGGCUUCAGCAAGCAAUAGCUACCAAUAUAGUAUUAGCUUUGAAAUAUACCACAGAAGAACUUCAGACAUACUACCUUGCGUGAUAAAGUAUCUUCAUGAUUUGCAGGGGCUUUUAUCAUUGCUCUGUUAGAUUCAGGUAUGUAUGAAAAAAAAAAAAGGUCUAGAUUAGAUUGCAGCAUUUAAAGCAAGCUGGGCUCUUAUAUGAAACCUGUGGUAUUGUUUCAGUCUGAGGUGACAAUGUCAAAGAAUUGCAGAGCUACUGGAGUUGAGACCUCUUAGUAAAAGAAAUAUGUAUGCAGACAAGAGGGAGAAAGAACUCUAAGCCCUUAACUUGCUGAUGUGGCAAUCACUGCAGUUUUGUCCCAAUAGACUGGUUGGGUUUUAGGGGAGACCAAACAGGGUGCAGUUCAGCCCAAUUGAGUUGAAAGAAUAGAAACCCAGAAUAAGACUUUAAGAAUCAGAUCUGUUGCAGUCAGAAAUGGUACAAGCCACAGAAGUGCCAGACUGCUCGUUUUUAAGUAUGAAUUCAGACAAACUGUAGUAGUUUCCUUCAAGCUGAAGUUAGAAGCUUUUAAAUUAAGAAAAAGUUUUCAAAGUUAGGAAAAGCCAUCUUUACAAAGGCCCACUUCAGCUCUAAAAGAACAUCCAAAAUGGAAAAUCCUUAGAUAAAUUCAAGGAAGAAUGGGGCAUUUCACUUACCGCCCUACCAGUUUCAGGACUUGUUGGUACCACAUUACCAUUUCUGGAUGUGUAGAUCAGUUAAUGCUCGGCAGGGAAAUGUAGUAAAAACUAGUUUAAGUACAGAGGUAUUGUUGUGCUUUUUAGCAAUCAACAGGUGUGAACAUACAACAGCAUGCAGAAGACUACACUUAAAAGAAUUUGUACCUAUCAUGGCUGGUAAUUAACUGUAUUUGGAUUCAGGCAGCUUACACAGCAGAAUAAAGUAAUACACAGCAACUGGAGGAAGCCUGUAUUACUCUUGUGUACUAUUCCAGACGUGCCAGAAUUCCAGAACCCCCUAAAAAAGCAGUAACUGCUAGAGAUAGCAAGAUGGCCUUAUAAUAUAGACAGCAAAUAUUAUUAAAUUGCUAUUUUUGCUUUCCAAACAGCAAUCUUUCUAUUAGGUGUAUUUUUUGUUUUGCUUUAAAGUUUGGUUUCAUUAAAUUAUUUUUUUGUCAAGAUUAAUCAAACUGGUCCAUGGGACAAUGAUCAAGAAAUACUCUUGCUCUGAUACCAUUCCUUUUAAAUAGUUCACGGGGACCUUUUGCAGCUGAUGAACUUGCAUUACUUCAAAACUGAAAGGCAAAAAGCAAGAACCUGGAAGUGCACCAUAUUUUUGUAACCUUCAAGAAAACAAAAUGUAACCUACGCUGAAUUAGGAUGUAGCAUUAAUUUGCACAAAGAGGAAGCAGCUUCCUGUGUGUUAUAUACACGUCUAUCAACUUCCAAAGUGUUUGUUGCCCAGAUAUUUUUUUUUUUUUUUUUUUUGCAAAAAGCUAGACUUACUUCAUGACAGUCAAUACAUAUCUUGAAGAUGAACUGGUUUAACAGUGUUUACUUUUAAUUUUCACUUCGCUAGUGAGGUUCAUCCCUUUAAGAAAAGGAACUCAACAUUAAGAAGCAACGUAGGAGUUCUCUACUUACCUUUCUGAUUUCAUACUAGCAUCUUAUGUGCGUCUUCAGCAAUUACCAUUGAUCUUCCAUGAAAACAGAUGCAAAACCACAAAAUGUGGGUUUGGUUAAAAAAGGUGGUGAAAUGCUAAAUGCCAGAUAACAUCAGAUCUUUUCUCAUGUAUGUUUUAACAACAAAUUAGCCAGAGUGUUUAAGAGCUAAUUUUAGAUGCACCCAUGUAUAUUUAAGGCACACUGCUAAUCUGCUUAUUAACUGAGUUAUUUCUGCAUUUGAGCAAUUUCAUGUAUUAGGCAAGCAAGUGCCGUUUCCCCAGCAA